RNAcentral lists this transfer RNA (73 nucleotides) under Candidatus Riesia pthiripubis. Its description in RNAcentral is "tRNA-Ala". It matches the Rfam family "tRNA". From Rfam's summary of the family: Transfer RNA (tRNA) molecules are approximately 80 nucleotides in length. Their secondary structure includes four short double-helical elements and three loops (D, anti-codon, and T loops). Further hydrogen bonds mediate the characteristic L-shaped molecular structure. tRNAs have two regions of fundamental functional importance: the anti-codon, which is responsible for specific mRNA codon recognition, and the 3' end, to which the tRNAs corresponding amino acid is attached (by aminoacyl-tRNA synthetases). tRNAs cope with the degeneracy of the genetic code in two manners: having more than one tRNA (with a specific anti-codon) for a particular amino acid; and 'wobble' base-pairing, i.e. permitting non-standard base-pairing at the 3rd anti-codon position. The record is from RNAcentral. Lineage: Bacteria; Pseudomonadati; Pseudomonadota; Gammaproteobacteria; Enterobacterales; Enterobacteriaceae. RNAcentral also lists the same sequence under 1 other name.
GGGGCUAUAGCUUAGACGGUAGAGCAUCUGUUUUGCAAUCAGAAGGUCAGCGGUUCGAUUCCGCUUAGCUCCA